This 460-nucleotide ribosomal RNA is filed under the name uncultured bacterium. RNAcentral's name for it is "partial 16S ribosomal RNA". It matches the Rfam family "Bacterial small subunit ribosomal RNA", at positions 338 to 795 of the family's 1533-position model. The record is from RNAcentral.
CCUACGGGUGGCAGCAGUGAGGAAUAUUGGUCAAUGGACGAGAGUCUGAACCAGCCAAGUAGCGUGAAGGAUGACUGCCCUAUGGGUUGUAACCUUCUUUUAUAUGGGAAUAAAAUGUUCCACGUGUGGGAUUUUGUAUGUACCAUAUGAAUAAGGAUCGGCUAACUCCGUUCCAGCAGCCGCGGUAACACGGAGGAUCCGAGCGUUAUCCGGAUUUAUUGGGUUUAAAGGGAGAGUAGGUGUAUUGUUAAUUCAGUUGUGAAUGCUUGCGGCUCAACCGUAAAAUUGCAGUUGAAACUGGCAGGCUAGAGUACAGUAGAGGUGGGCGGAAUUCGUGGUGUAGCGGUGAAAUGCUUAGAUAUCACGAAGAACUCCGAUUGCGAAGGCAGUUCACUGGACUGAAACUGACACUGAGGCACGAAAGUGUGGGUAUCAAACAGGAUUAGAUACCCUAGUAGUC